This 406-nucleotide ribosomal RNA is filed under the name uncultured bacterium. RNAcentral describes it as "partial 16S ribosomal RNA". It matches the Rfam family "Bacterial small subunit ribosomal RNA", at positions 29 to 526 of the family's 1533-position model. The record is from RNAcentral.
AUUGAACGCUGGCGGCAGGCCUAACACAUGCAAGUCGAACGAGUGGCGGACGGGUGAGUAAUGUCUGGGACACUGCCUGAUGGAGGGGGAUAACUACUGGAAACGGUAGCUAAUACCGCAUACCAUCGGAUGUGCCCAGAUGGGAGUAGCUAGUAGGUGGGGUAACGGGGCUCCUAGGCGACGAUCCCUAGCUGGUCUGAGAGGAUGACCAGCCACACUGGAACAUAGAGACGGUCCAGACGCCUACGGGAGGCAGCGGUGGGGAAUAUUGCACAAUGGGCGCAAGCCUGAUGCAGCCAUGCCGCGUGUAUGAAGAGGGCCUUCGGGUUGUAAAGUACUUUCAGCGGGGAGGGGUUACCCGCAGAAGAAGCACCGGCUAACUCCGUGCCAGCAGCCGCGGUAAUAC